AUCGCAAUCCGAGCCAUCGAUCUUAUAAGAUAGGAAAGUCCGGACAGUACAGGGCGGCUCGCUGCUUGUUAAAGGCAGGUGCGUUUUACGUAACGGCAAGUGCAACAGAAAACAAACCAGCCGUGACCUUUGCGUCACUGGUGAUGGGUGCAAUGGUGAGGUAAGAGCUCACCGGCAAUGCAAGUGAUUGUGUUGGCCAGGUAAACCCCGGGCACUGAAAGACCAUGUAAACCCCGGCUUGAAGGCUGCCCGCCUAAACGGGGAGGGUAGGUCGAGAAGAUAAAUGAUGGCAUAGAACAGAAUCCGGCUUACGGGAUUGCAACAUGA
RNAcentral lists this RNase P RNA (327 nucleotides) under Salibacter halophilus. RNAcentral's name for it is "Bacterial RNase P class A". It matches the Rfam family "Bacterial RNase P class A". From Rfam's summary of the family: Ribonuclease P (RNase P) is a ubiquitous endoribonuclease, found in archaea, bacteria and eukarya as well as chloroplasts and mitochondria. The record is from Rfam by way of RNAcentral. Lineage: Bacteria; Pseudomonadati; Bacteroidota; Flavobacteriia; Flavobacteriales; Salibacteraceae.